CCUACGGGAGGCAGCAGUGAGGAAUAUUGGUCAAUGGGCUGGAGCCUGAACCAGCCAAGUCGCGUGAGGGAAGACGGUCCUAUGGAUUGUAAACCUCUUUAGGCGGGGAGCAAUGCCAGGCACGCGUGCCCGGAGGGAGAGUACCCGCAGAAUACGCAUCGGCUAACUCGGUGCCAGCAGCCGCGGUAAUACGGAGGAUGCGAGCGUUAUACGGAUUUAUUGGGUUAAAAGGGUGCGUAGGCGGAUUUUACAGUCAGCGGGAAAAUGUCCGGUCUCAACCCGGGACGGCCGUUGAAACUGGGGAUCGUGAGUGGGCGAGAAGUAUGCGGAAUGCGUGGUGUAGGGGUGAAAUGCAUAGAU
This 360-nucleotide ribosomal RNA is filed under the name uncultured bacterium. RNAcentral describes it as "partial 16S ribosomal RNA". It matches the Rfam family "Bacterial small subunit ribosomal RNA", at positions 338 to 695 of the family's 1533-position model. The record is from RNAcentral.